GCCACUGGAGAGGAAGAAAGAAAGAAAGAAAGAAAGACACAGAGAGAAAGAUUUGUGACAAAUUAGAGACAAGGAGAAAAGGAAGUGAGAGAGAGAGAGAGAGCGCGAGGAGGAAGGAAGUGAUGAAAAGUAGGGAUUUUGAAGAUGAGUAAAAGAUGAGAGGAUGAGGGAAAGACAGACAGAGAGCGGUGGCUUGGCUUUUCAAUGGGAGGGGUGCAAACAGAGGUGUAGAGACAGAGGAAUGCAGAGACAGGGACAGCGACACUGCUGCUCCUGCAGAGGAGGAUUUUGGAGUAACGCCGGUGAUGGAUAUACGAGCUGACAACCGAGCAUUUCCAUUAACCAGAGUGGAGAUGUCCGAUAAUUACGCAGAAACGACAACGGGUCAUAAAAGACGGCAGAACCGAAGCCAAGCAAAUAUUAGUAAGUAUAUAUGGUAAGGUUUUAUUUCCUAUUUUAAUUUGAAUGAAGUAAUGGAUAAAAUCCUGCAGGUAUAGCUGGGCUUUACAGGAUCACAUGAAAUAUCAAACCUUAGUUUGUUUGCUGGCUUGUUUGAGCAUCUCUGAACCAAGGAUCUUCAUUCUUCAAUAAAAAUAAUCCUAAUAUAUAAUAAUAGUGAGAGAGACAGUCUUCAGCAGGGGUUCCCAAAUGUUUUGACUGCCUUUCAAAGUUGAACAUGUCCCUCUUUUAAACUUAAUACCAACUAAGAAUAUACUCAGCCUUUGAUACCACUAGAUACCUGCUAACUAAAAAAGCAAAAGGAUGAUUUAUUAAAACCCAUAUCCUGAACAUAAAAUUCAAAUGAAUUAUGUUAAUGUUAUGCACUUGUUGUGUUAUUAAAUAAAAACAAUUCACACUUUC
Molecule: long non-coding RNA, 861 nt
Organism: Solea senegalensis (Senegalese sole)
Lineage: Eukaryota; Metazoa; Chordata; Actinopteri; Pleuronectiformes; Soleidae
Exons: 3
Source: RefSeq, a predicted model, not a curated record